Bubalus bubalis (water buffalo) is the source of this 1736-nucleotide long non-coding RNA. RefSeq lists it as uncharacterized. The record is from RefSeq and is a predicted model, not a curated record. The transcript is spliced from 2 exons. NCBI's taxonomy places the organism in Eukaryota, Metazoa, Chordata, Mammalia, Artiodactyla, Bovidae.
GCCCAAGGUCGACGGUCAGGUCGAGGGCAGUGCUGGGACUCGACCCCUGUCUCUGCCCACUCCAGGGCACCUGACUGACUUCUAAUGAGUGAGACUCACAGAUCACUGUCUGUUUAGUAGAUAAGGGGAGAACAGGGUAGAGAGAGGCCGAGUUGUGACCCCCGGUCAUACAGCCCUGUGAGCAAAGUAAGGGUCAGCCUGUCUGCCAGGUCCCUGGUGGGUUCUCUGGGCCCCUUCUCCACAGCCUCAGUGAGACCCACCACCCAGAUCGGGGGCCUCUGGUCCUCCUGGGGGGCCAAGGGAUCAGCAAAGAGGGCCUCUUGGUGGCCUGAUGGCCCCCACAAUCAGGAAGUCACUAAAGCAAAGAGUCCCCACUUGUGGGAUGCUCACAGGGACCCUGUUAUCCCGUCUUCCAGGGGCUCACUCACACACCUGGGGUACAGGGGCUUGCCAAAGGAGGGGUACGACCAGCAUCCUUCCCGCCCAGACCUCAUUGACCAGCGCGGGACAAUGAGCUCUUGCCUGGGCUGCGGCAGCCCUGGGGCUGGAGCUGGAAGCUGGGUACUGCUCAGGAUCAGGGUCAGAGCCCCUUUGCAGAACAUCUGGGGGCUCUUCCCCAGCCCUGGCCCCCGCAGAGCCUGCCCAACUGCGCCUCUGAGCCGCACCCAAACUCUUCCGGGCUUUGCCAGGGAGACUGGAAAUUUCUGCCCAGCAGCUUCUCUGGGAGGAUUUCGACACUCAGCUCAGUGGGGGACUGGGAGGAGCCAGGCUGCUCCCGGCUCAGCGUUCUCACGGCUCUGCUUGGGGGGAAUGGGAGGGGGACUUCGCUAGGCCUUGGUGAGUCCUUCAAAAAUAAUUGUAAUAACAGUCAACCGGUUCCAACAACAGUGACCCUGUACUGAGUGCUUACUGAGUGCCAGACUCUGUGCUAAGUCAAGACUGGCACCGUAUCAGUGCCAUAGCCCAGGCGAGGCUGGCACUGUUACUAACCCAUCUCACAGACGAGCAGGAGAAGCAGAGUGGUGAAGGCGGCCAUUGAGGCUACAGAGGCAGAAGCCGAGGCCGGGCCUGUGAUAUUCCGGAGCCCAGGAGGUGCAGGUCACUAGCUGGUUGGGAGCAGGCAGGGCUGGAAGACACCCAGGGGUGCCUGGGGUAGGAGAAACACUGGGAGCCACUAAAGGCAACUCUGAUACUCAAACAACAACUAUGGCUCGACCAGAAACUGCAGCUCAGGUGAAGGCAUGCUUGGACCCUGCGUCUCUGUUAGCAGCCUCCUGGCGGUACACUGGGACCCCUGGAGACCUCAAGGGGUCUGGAAACCUCGCCCCAACCAGUCCUGAUGAGGACACUGAGUCUCAGAGAACUGACAUGUGACCCAGACUCAGAGCCGUGCUGCCAACCAUCUGUGGGGCUACUUCUACCCUCAGUGGCAGGGACCCUGGCCACUUCCCACGCCAGGGUUACAGAGCAGCAGAAACUGGCAUGGGAACAGGGAGAGGGGGACCAUCUUCUCCAACUCCCUCAUUUUACACCAAGGGAAACAGGUGCCAGCGAGGGGAAGAGACGUCUCAGUGUCAUCAUCAAGUCCAAAGGCUGCUGGUUUCCUGGGUGGGCCCCCCACAUGGGCUUCUCCUGUGCACUCCCACAUCCUACUCCUCUUUCACAAUGAUAUUUUAAAAGUUGUUAAUGUUCGCAUAUUUGUAAGAAAACAUUGUUAAAGAAAUGAGAAGACCUGC